CUUCAAGCAACACUGGCUAGAAAAAAUACUGUUCUAAAUGAUACUGCAAACUCAUAUUUCAGUAGUUUGGUCUUAACCAAAAAAGAAAUACAGUGUCUGAUUGCAAUGUGCAGCAUAUCUAUUGUAUUUUUGUGGCUCCAUUUCUAUAAUACCUCACAAUAUCUAAUGCAUUUAUCCUCACUAGUCCCCUAUGGGGUAGAUAUUAUCACCUUUUUAUGUAUGGUGAAUUGAACAAAGAGAAACUAAGCAACUUGCAAAAGGUCAUUCAGGCCACAUGUGGCAGAGCAGAGAACUGAACCUGCAUCUCCUGGAUCCCACGCAAGUGCCUACCCAUUGCAUCAUUCUUCCUUUCAGUUAGGCUACUCUACUGUACUCUGUAUUAUAGAAUAGCGCCAUGCCAGCAGUAAUGUUGAAGAACGAUAAAAUUAGUUCAUAGAGAACCUUUCAUCCUGAAGUAUAAUUUAUAAAUUAUAUCCCUCUGGAAACGCAUAAUAAUGUUAUCAUAACUAAAAGAAUUAAACAUUAUUUUACAUUUUCCUUAAUGAGUACUCAGUUCUAAGAGGCAACUAACAAGCCUCACAACAGUAGGAAGAGAAAUUUUGACUAAGAAACCCUGCUAUAUUCCCAUUAAAAGUGCCAUAACAUCUUUAAUAGCCACAUAGGGUUGACAGGACAAAAGUGAGGCUCAGAUCGCUAUAUAAAUAACUUACAGAACACAUUUAAUUAAUGGGGAGGUGCUCUGGAAUGCAUUUAUUUUAAGAGACCUUCCUGUUUUUAUAAAUAUGUUAUUCAAAAAUACUGUCUGGACUUUAGUUGUAAAUUAUCUGCUCAAGAACCACGUAAUUCGCACACAUUCAGCUGGCAGUGUGACAGAAUGGACAGCUACAGCUCUGGGACACUCUCUCAGGUAUAGACUUGGGAGGUGGGAGCUGUCAGUGAAAGGCCACCAGGAUGCAAGUCUUGGUUUCUUUUGGUGUUUAAACUGAUAAGGACAAAUGCCACCUACCUGCCCCAAUGGGUGGGGGAACUUGAUAUGGAUGGCAGUGAAGGGGAAUAGGCCCAGCAGCGAGGGAGGGAGACACUCACUUAGGUACACUAGGUAGCUCCUCCUCCUGGGCGUCUCUGACACCUGUUGGCCAGCUGGUGGGGAGGGCUGCUGAUUGGCUAGCAUUCACCAACAUUUAACCUGGAGUGGGGGCAUGUAGAGCCUCUUUGCUCCUGGAACCAAUUAAAUGCCUGGUACAGGAGAGUAUGGGUGAUGGGUGGGUAGCACCUUUCCCUUGUGUUAAAGUUUAAUAAAAGUUGGGGCCUCCUGCUUAAUUCCAUGCAUGUGCCUGUCCUCAUUUUGCUGCUGUGUCCACAUAAAAUCAGAGGAAGGCUGCACACAGCUGAGGAAAGGAGUGUUGGCUUUCAACCUGAGAGAGGUUGUGGCGUCAUUGUAUGUGGAGAUUUGGGAUUUGAAGACAGCUUCUUGGAAGAAAAAGUGGUAUUCCAUUAUUCAUAAACCUAGAGACCCAAAGAAUAGACAGUAUCUCAUAUAUAAGACUCAGAGGGAAAGUCAUCAGAAAGGGUGAGAGUUGUAGAUGAACCAGCUUAACUUGAGGUACACUUAGGAACAGCUUGUAACUUGACUUCAAUCAAGGAGGAUUUCCCUCCUCUUCUGUGUCUUUUGCAAGGGACAGGGACAACCCGCACUGCAGAUUAUCCUAAGGAGGCAGGGAGCAGGCAGGGUGGGGAAUAAGAUCCAAACACCCAGGACACACUGGGUAGCUUUGGAAGGGAUAAUGCCGCUAUACUCUAUUCCUAAAUGACUUCUAUUUGCAUGUUCUCCACUACUGCUGUGAUGAUGAUCAUGAUGAUGACAAUUAUUAUUAUUGGUAUUGGGGUAGUGGGUAAGCACCCCAGUCAUGGGCCACAAACCCAUUGCGCUUGGUGCUGUACAAACACAGAACAAAAAGAUUAUCCCUGCCCCCAAAGAGCUUACAGUGUAAGUACAACAAUUACUGUCAAAUGUACUUCCCCAGUCUGGACUUAUCUGCUGGUCUUCAGGCUCCUAUCUCUAACUGUGUCUGACACCUCACGCUGAAUGAGUUGUUGCCAUUUCAGACUCAACAUGGCCAAAACUGACCUACUAAUAUUUCAGCCCAAACCUUCCUCCCUACCUCAGUCCUCCAGUGCAAUUCAUAACUUUACCAUCCUUCCUUUCCCCCAAACCCAUAACUUAGGGGUUAUCUUUCAUUCCUCCUUGUUCUUUUCUCAGCACAUCCAGCUGGUGGCCAAGUGGGGUCACUUAUCUAAAACCUGCCCCUUCCUUUCUGUCCUGACUGCCAAAUUGUUUGUCAACACCCAUAUCAUCUCCCACCAUGACUGCUGCAAUCUUCUUUUCUUGGGUCUCUUCCCUAGUAACCUGCCCCACCUUCUCAUGCCUGUCCAUCCAAAAUGCUGCUGCUGAAAUCAGUUUUCCUAUGCCAUCCCCUCAGCCAUGUUGAGCUAUUGCAGUAGCUUCCCAUUGCCUGAGCCUCACAUUCACAGUUUUUGUGUUCAAGACCAGACGUAGCCUACAUCUCUGACUUGGUCUCCUUUCGUGCCCUACCUUCAACUCCUCUACACUCACCAAUGAUUCUGGCCUCGCUAUCCCCUUUAUCUGCUUCUCUCACAGGCAUGCCUGUGUCUCUUUCCAUGCUGGAAUGCCCAUCCUGAACCUGUACAACAGGUUACCUCCCUCCUCUUCCACCAUAUCCAAUUCCCUACUACACAGAGCAGACAAGAAGUGAAAGGGACGAGCCAGACCAUUGUGAUAUGUAUGUACCAUACAGAGUGGCCACCAGAUCUUGUUGUUUUCAUCCUUGUUCCUUCUGUGUAUAGCACACUUGGUUACUAACCCUCACUUGCAAUGUCACACUCAAUCAAGACACUCAUCUGGUCAGGCACCACUUGUAUACUUGUAGGAAGCACCUGGCCCAUUUGCCCUGAACCACUGCCAAAGCAGGGCUAUUCUUUAAAGUCAUUUACUAGCCCAUGCUGUGAUGGAAAUGUGGAAGGAAUGAGUUUAUUUCAGCAGUUGUUUGCAUGGUGUUAAGGAUUAAGUUUGCAUUUUUGGACACUUAGUAAUAGCUUUCAAAUUUCCAUACUUGCGUUGUUCCUUGUUAUGACUGUAAAUAGAAUUUCUAGUUUUUCAUCAUCUUUUUCCUUUGGGCCAGUUACAUUUCAUCAUAUGAAAAUAUAAAAAGGGAAUUGGUACUUUAACUUUGAUCCACCCUCAGAAUCAUGCUAUGAUUAAAUCAUCAGGAAUAAGGAUAAGGGUGUUUCCAUUCUGCUCUGAAUAUCAUCUAACUGAAAAGAUUGGGUUGUGGAAGCAUAAACUCUUACAGUAACCUUCUUAGGAAAUGCCUCUUUACAACUUGACUCUGGAAUAGAGGAGACAGCCAUGACAUUGUAUAAUUAGUAUGACUGUAGCUUUUAAAAUCUCAGUUGAGCAGAUAACUUUAUCAGAGUUGUAUAAUGUGCAUAGUCAUGAAAUCAUACUGUGUGUUUAUCGCAAACAAAUAUGUAAUCCUACUUACAAAGCUGAAGAAUCAAAAAUAUACACUCUAUUAGGAAUUAUGAGCAAUAUUUAAAUGUAAAGUCAUUUAGCACUAUAUCAAAUGGGAUGGUCAUAAUAAUAAUACCUUAUUUAUUAUUACCGUAAUAAUAAUACUUUUAUUAUAUAGAGCUUUAGCCAUUCAAAACUCUGUAAAAGCAUUAACUAACCUUGAGUACCUCAAGGAGGUAGAUAAAUCAUCCCCAUUAUA
Dermochelys coriacea (leatherback sea turtle) is the source of this 3791-nucleotide long non-coding RNA. RefSeq lists it as uncharacterized. Lineage: Eukaryota; Metazoa; Chordata; Testudines; Dermochelyidae. The transcript is spliced from 2 exons. The record is from RefSeq and is a predicted model, not a curated record.